UCAAGUUAUUAAGGGUGCAGGGCGGAUGCCUUGGCACUAGGAGCCGAUGAAGGACGUGAUAAGCUGCGAUAAGCUUCGGGGAGUUGCACGUAAACUUUGAUCCGAAGAUUUCCGAAUGAGGAAACUCACUUAGAGUAAUGUCUAAGUAUCAUUAAGUGAAUACAUAGCUUAAUGAGGGGAACUCAGGGAACUGAAACAUCUAAGUACCUGAAGGAAGAGAAAGAAAUUCGAUUCCGUAAGUAGCGGCGAGCGAACGCGGAUUAGCCCAAACCAAUAAAGUUUUCUUUAUUGGGGUUGCGGACAUAUCAUAACGAAGAGGUAUCGUAAUUGAAGAGGUUUGGAAAGACCCACCACAGAAGGUAAUAGUCCUGUAUGUUAAACGAGAAGACUUUAGAUAUGAUCCAGAGUACCACGGGACACGUGAAACCCUGUGGGAAGCAGGAGGGACCACCCUCCAAGGCUAAAUACUACCUAGUGACCGAUAGCGUAUAGUACCGUGAGGGAAAGGUGAAAAGAACCCCGGGAGGGGAGUGAAAUAGAACCUGAAACCCUGCACUUACAAGCUGUGGAAGCACAUUUCUUGUGUGACCGCGUACUUUUUGUAGAACGGGCCAACGAGUUACGUUAAGUAGCAAGGUUAAGCACUUAAGGUGCGGAGCCGUAGCGAAAGCGAGUUUUAACUGAGCGUUCAGUUACUUGACGUAGACCCGAAACCGGGCGACCUACCCAUGAGCAGGAUGAAGCGAAAGUAAAAUUUCGUGGAGGUCCGAACCCACGAGCGUUGAAAAGCUCGGGGAUGACUUGUGGGUAGCGGUGAAAUUCCAAUCGAGCCCGGAGAUAGCUGGUUCUCCCCGAAAUAGCUUUAGGGCUAGCCUCAAGGUGAGAGAUACGGAGGUAGAGCACUGAAUGUCCUAGGGGGUAUUGCACCUACCGAAGACUAUCAAACUCCGAAUGCCGUCAUCUUAUACUUGGGAGUCAGACUGUGGGUGAUAAGAUUCAUAGUCGAAAGGGCAACAGCCCAGAUCGUCAGCUAAGGUCCCUAAAUGUAAGUUAAGUGGUAAAGGAUGUGGGAUUGCACAGACAACCAGGAUGUUGGCUUAGAAGCAGCCACUCAUUCAAAGAGUGCGUAAUAGCUCACUGGUCGAGUGAUCCUGCGCCGAAGAUUUCCGGGGCUAAAACUUACUACCGAAGCUACGGCAUCAGUAAUGAUGGGUAGGGGAGCUUCCCAUACGGGUUGAAGCAUGACCGUAAGGACAUGUGGACAGUAUGGGAGUGAGAAUGUUGGCAUGAGUAGCGAGAUGUGGGUGAGAAUCCCACAGGCCGUAAACCCAAGGUUUCCAGGGGAAGGUUCGUCCACCCUGGGUUAGUCGGGACCUAAGCUGAGGCCGAAAGGCGUAGGUGAUGGACAACAGGUUGAUAUUCCUGUACUACCGAUAACCGUUUGAGAGAAGGGAUGACACAGUAGGAUAAGCUAAGCACACUGUUGGUUAUGUGUGCCCAAGCAUUGAGGCAGUCAAAGUAGGCAAAUCCGCUUUGAUAAUGCUGGGAUGUGAUGGGGAGCGAAAUUUAGUAGCGAAGUAGCUGAUUUCACACUGUCAAGAAAAGUCUCUAUCGAGGUUAAAGGUACCCGUACCGCAAACCGACACAGGUGGGUGAGGAGAGUAUCCUAAGGCCAGCGAGAGAACUGUUGUUAAGGAACUCGGCAAAAUGACCCCGUAACUUAGGGAUAAGGGGUGCCACCAUCAGGUGGCCGCAGAGAAUAGGCCCAAGCGACUGUUUACCAAAAACAUAGGUUUCUGCUAAGUCGCAAGACGAUGUAUAGGAGCUGACGCCUGCCCGGUGCUGGAAGGUUAAGGGGAUCUGUUAGAGCAAUCGAAGCAGUGAACUUAAGCCCCAGUAAACGGCGGCCGUAACUAUAACGGUCCUAAGGUAGCGAAAUUCCUUGUCGGGUAAGUUCCGACCCGCACGAAAGGCGUAACGAUUUGGGCACUGUCUCAACAACAGACUCGGUGAAAUUGUAAUUCCGGUGAAGAUGCCGGAUACCUGCGACAGGACGGAAAGACCCCAUGGAGCUUUACUGUAGCUUGACAUUGGGUCUUGGUACUACAUGUACAGGAUAGGUGGGAGGCUUUGAAACCAGGACGCCAGUUUUGGCGGAGCCAUCCUUGGGAUACCACCCUUGUAGUACUGGGACUCUAACCAUAGGCCAUGAAUCUGGUCUUGGGACACUGUCAGGUGGGCAGUUUGACUGGGGCGGUCGCCUCCCAAAAGGUAACGGAGGCGCUCAAAGGUUCUCUCAGUACGGUCGGAAAUCGUACGUAGAGUGUAAAGGCAAAAGAGAGCUUGAUUGCAAGACAUACAGGUCGAGCAAGGAUGAAAAUCGGACUUAGUGAUCCGGUGGUUCUGCGUGGAAGGGCCAUCGCUCAACGGAUAAAAGCUACCCUGGGGAUAACAGGCUUAUCUCCCCCAAGAGUCCACAUCGACGGGGAGGUUUGGCACCUCGAUGUCGGCUCAUCACAUCCUGGGGCUGUAGUAGGUCCCAAGGGUUGGGCUGUUCGCCCAUUAAAGUGGUACGCGAGCUGGGUUCAGAACGUCGUGAGACAGUUCGGUCCCUAUCCGUCGCAGGCGUAGGAAAUUUGAGAAGACCUGUCCUUAGUACGAGAGGACCGGGAUGGACGUACCUCUGGUGUACCAGUUGUCCUGCCAAGGGCAUGGCUGGGUAGCUAUGUACGGAAUGGAUAAGCGCUGAAAGCAUCUAAGCGCGAAGCCAACUUCAAGAUAAGAUUUCCCACCGCAAGGGUAAGACCCCAGAAAGACUAUCUGGUUGAUAGGUCGAAGGUGUAAGUGCAGCAAUGUAUUUAGCUUAUCGAUACUAAUAGGUCGAGGACUUGACCAA
This 2896-nucleotide ribosomal RNA is filed under the name Clostridioides difficile. RNAcentral describes it as "23S ribosomal RNA". It matches the Rfam family "Bacterial large subunit ribosomal RNA". The record is from RNAcentral. Lineage: Bacteria; Bacillati; Bacillota; Clostridia; Peptostreptococcales; Peptostreptococcaceae.